RNAcentral lists this ribosomal RNA (399 nucleotides) under Verrucomicrobiia bacterium. RNAcentral's name for it is "partial 23S ribosomal RNA". It matches the Rfam family "Bacterial large subunit ribosomal RNA", at positions 2545 to 2925 of the family's 2925-position model. Lineage: Bacteria; Pseudomonadati; Verrucomicrobiota; Verrucomicrobiia. The record is from RNAcentral.
UCCUGGGGCUGGAGAAGGUCCCAAGGGUCCGGCUGUUCGCCGGUUAAAGCGGUACGCGAGCUGGGUUCAGAACGUCGUGAGACAGUUCGGUCCUUAUCCGCCGUGGGCGCAGGAGAUUUGAGGGGUUCGCUUCCUAGUACGAGAGGACCGGAAGCGACCGACCUCUGGUGUUUCUGUUGUCCCGUCAGGGGCAAAGCAGAGUAGCUAUGUCGGGAAUGGAUAAGCGCUGAAAGCAUCUAAGCGCCAAGCCGAUCCCAAGAUGAGAUCUCCCUCCUCGGAGCGAUCCGGGGCUGAAGGCAGCCCGAAGAUUACGGGCUCGAUAGGCCGGAAGUGCAAGCGUCGCGAGGCGUUCAGCUGACCGGUACUAAUUUGCCGUGAGGCUUGAUCUGAAAAACCCGA